Molecule: ribosomal RNA, 253 nt
Filed under: uncultured bacterium
Lineage: Bacteria
Description: partial 16S ribosomal RNA
Rfam family: Bacterial small subunit ribosomal RNA
Source: RNAcentral
UACGGAGGUGGCAAGCGUUGCUCGGAAUUACUGGGCGUAAAGGGCGCGUAGGCGGGGCGAUAAGUCGGGCGUGAAAGCCCCCGGCUCAACCGGGGAAUGGCGCUCGAGACUGCCGCUCUUGAGUACCGGAGAGGAGGGUGGAAUUCCCGGUGUAGCGGUGAAAUGUGUAGAGAUCGGGAGGAACACCGGUGGCGAAGGCGGCCCUCUGGACGGAUACUGACGCUGAGGCGCGAAAGCGUGGGGAGCAAACGGG